GCCAGCUGAUGCCAGGAAAAUUUAGCUCUAGAUGAAGUGCUGAGUGGGUGCUCAGAUCUAACAUCCGGUUGGAGAGAAAUACUUUCAGUAAGUGUAAAAUAAUAGGGGUUUUCAUACAUCUCUUAUCUGAGAGGUAAGUGCAUUUUUUGCCCUUUCCACAGAAAGGGCAUGUGUAAGAAGAGGUUAUGACUUAAUAUGUCUUGACCUGUGUGAUGUACAAGAGGCCAAUCAACAGGGACAGAAAGGGGACAGGGGUUGCUUUUGCUUUGCUACUUCUCUGCUUUUACAGAGCAAAAGAGGAGGAAAAAAAACCCACCAAAAAACAGAAAUCAGUUUUUCUUGUUUCAUUCUUUUGAUGAGGACGGUCAAUGGGAGGAUUAAGGUUAUAUAAAAAGUCAUGUGUUGCUGUAAUUGGACUGAAAGCUGUGUUUCAGCUUAAUUCAUAUUUUAUAAUGCUUGUUUUUUCAAAGUGCAGUGGUGGAAUAACGUUGCUGUAAUUCUCUCUUGGCAGCAUUCCUUGCCUUCUGAAGUAGGUGGUUGGCUUGCAGCUAUUAAAUUCCUUUAUUUAUAGCAGUAAUCUAUUCCAGGAUAAAAUACAGGGGGUUAGAAGUGUAACACUGCCUUGCUAGAGGAGUGGUUUAUUCCUAGUUUCUGUUUUGCAUCCCCAGUUGCAUGACUGUAGGAAGUGUUUUCUGUUGAGCUCUGUUGCAGCUUAGCAUUUUGCUCUCCUCACAUGUGAGCAGCAUGUUCAUUCCUGAAAUUUAUAGAUUUGGCCUUUCACAAAACACUUCAAAUAUAACUUAGUAAAGUAAUUGAAGUUAUGGGGUUGGGUGUGAUUUGGAGGGGAGGGUUCGUUAUGGUGGUUUUUUUGCUUUUGGGGUUUUUUUAAUCCACCUAUUCAAGUUUUUCUCUUUCAGAAACUUUUCCAGGUCAGUACUUCAUGGGAAGGAGUAGUUGUCACUGCUGAAUAACAAAGCAUCUGUGUGUAGUGUUGAUCAUUCUCUUUGUAAAUGUCCACUUCUGCUAAUUUAACUCUGAAAAACACAGUAAUCUAUCCACACAGAAACAAGGUGCAGGAAUAUAUUGGAAUGUGCUGCCAGGGAAUGCUUUGGACAAGGCAAGACCUAUGGUAGGAGCAUGACAGCUAAAAUUGUAUCAGUCCUUUCUAUAAGGAAGUGUCACUUUCUGGGAAUAACUUGCUUUCCGUGUUAAAUAUUUCACUACUUAGAGCAAUGUUUUCCUUCUGCACAGAUUUAAACUUACAUUGGGGGUUAAUUAAUACUAUUGACGUCUUCUGUUAAAACUUGCAAGCUUUCUGGAGCAAGUUUCUUCCCUACUUUGUUUUUUAUUUGCUCUUACAGUGUAGUGCUCUCUGAUGACCCACUUGUUAAAUAGUGGUAGCUCCCUUACAGUAAAUGAAUCUUGACUUCACAAGUUACCUGGAAAAAUUCCUACAGCUGGAGCUGAAGUCAGCAAGGACAAAGUCAGUAGUAAUAGAGGUAAAAAAGCAAGUUGACGAAAUGGAUGUGAAAAAGGAAUUUCUGGAAGGAGCUGCCCAGCUAAGCAGAACCUGUGCUCAGUGUUUGAGUUGUGCCUGAGGCUGGGUUAUAGAACAUCUCCUCCGUUGGAUGUCCUGCAGCUGAGGCCAAAGCCGUGCACUUCCCAGCAGGGAGCAGAUCUGUGCUGCACCCUUAGCAGAGGUGGAGAAAUCCUGGGCAGAAGCUCAUGACCAGGAGUAGCAUUUUCAAGAGAAAAAGGAGGCAGCCCAUAACUGAGACAGUUUAAAAGAAGAAAACCUAGAGGUGAACAGAGAGGUGGGGACUUCACACCAAGAAUGCUCUGCCUUCAAGCACCUGGAACCCUUCUGGUUUGCAUCUCUCUGCUGGAAGUGGCAAUCAGCAUGUGGCAUAUACUCCCUUCUGUAUGCUCUAAGUAGCUCAUGGGCUGCACGGAAUAAUGAAGAAAGUUAUCUUUGAAAACAGCCACGCAGAGCAUGAAAAGAAUCAGGGGAGGACAAAUCUAAAUUUAAAGGCAAGUAAGUGUCUUAAUUAAAAGGUAUCAGUAUAUCGGUAAUUCUAGUGAAUUUUGUCAGGUUACAAGACUUCUUUAUUUACUGUCUGCUUCAUAGAAGUUACAUUUGAUUAAAACAGUUGUACCUGAGAAGAAGAGCAUCAAGCUUCUGUAUCCAGUAUUGCCACUUUGUUUGAUCCCAAUUCUUGUUUUACCUGGUGCUUUCACUAAACCUCACCUGCAAGAAUGAGAAGAACUAACACUGUUCAGUGUUUUGGGGUUUUUUAUUUUGUUGUUCUUGGUUGGGGUUUUCUGUUGGGUUGUUUGCAGCCCUUGUGGCUGCAGUGAAAAGUCUGGAUGUCUGAAGGACAGUCCCCCAGGGAUUCAAAACUGGAAAAGCAAGUCAAA
Long non-coding RNA from Pipra filicauda (Wire-tailed manakin), 2418 nucleotides. RefSeq lists it as uncharacterized. The transcript is spliced from 4 exons. The record is from RefSeq and is a predicted model, not a curated record. NCBI's taxonomy places the organism in Eukaryota, Metazoa, Chordata, Aves, Passeriformes, Pipridae.